AUGGGAGAGUGCCUCCCUGGAUCUUCACGUCCCCGAGCAGGAGUUCUGCGCCCGUGCCCGAUCCAGUGCUGCCGGAGAAUCAACCACCACCGUGCCUCCCUCUUCCUUUCUCCUUCCCUUCUGUGCUCUCUCCAUCUCUCUCAACUCACUCUUUGCUCUCUCGGGAAUCAUCUAACUCAGAUCAUUAAUAUUGCUAAGCAGCUCCUCCGCCGCCGCUGUGGCUCCAUUUGGGCAGGCCGUCGCAGCUCCGGGUGGUGCGCGUGA
This 264-nucleotide ribosomal RNA is filed under the name Triticum aestivum (bread wheat). RNAcentral describes it as "partial small subunit ribosomal RNA". Lineage: Eukaryota; Viridiplantae; Streptophyta; Magnoliopsida; Poales; Poaceae. The record is from RNAcentral.